RNAcentral lists this long non-coding RNA (635 nucleotides) under Androctonus crassicauda. Lineage: Eukaryota; Metazoa; Arthropoda; Arachnida; Scorpiones; Buthidae. The record is from RNAcentral.
CAAAUUCUUCAAACAUUCUUUGCUUCUAUAUUUCAGUAAGAUUAUCAUGUUUGAAAUCCUCAUUAUGGGAGUUCAGCAUCUCAAAAACAAUUUCAGAAAUAACUUUCAAAUCAAAUUUGAUGCUAUGUAGCAUUCUUUUGCAUAGACAACAGAAUUGUAUAUGGUAGCAAACUUGAUUUGGAAGGCAAUAGGAUCAUCUUCUGAAUCUGAUAAUAAGCUAUAAAGAAAAGGCAAUCUUCUUCAGAUGCUCUUUAUAUUUUUGUCAAUAGUUUUUGACCCUGAAUCUCCUAUAAUAUUUGGAAGGCCUUCCAAAAGUAUACUACAACAAAAAUCCUUCAAUAACUUUUUAUUAUUAAAUUUUAUGCCACUUUCCGUCCUACUGCAUACUAAAGAGCAAUGCAUUUCAAUGUACUUCAUAGGCAAUACCCAAGCUUCUGGUAGGUCUUUUUUUAUUUUAUGUAUUUCUUGGAGAUAGUUAAAUGGUGGGAAUCAAUGCUGGAUCUAGGUAUUUUGUCACAUGAGAUAAAAUUAGAGAAUGAUAUCCUCUCUCCUCUUCACUCAGGUGCACUAAUAUAUAAAUAUAUAUAAUACUUUGGAACCAGGAAUGUAAUGACAUCAGAUACAUAGUCACUGAU